RNAcentral lists this ribosomal RNA (325 nucleotides) under uncultured bacterium. Its description in RNAcentral is "bacterial SSU rRNA". It matches the Rfam family "Bacterial small subunit ribosomal RNA", at positions 28 to 334 of the family's 1533-position model. The record is from RNAcentral.
GAUGAACGCUGGCGGCGUGCUUAACACAUGCAAGUCGAACGAAGCGCUUAAACGGAUUUCUUCGGAUUGAAGUUUUUGCGACUGAGUGGCGACGGGUGAAGGUAACGCGUGGGUAACCUGCCUCAUACAGGGGGAUAACAGUUAGAAAUGACUGCUAAUACCGCAUAAGCGCACAGUGCUGCAUGGCACAGUGCGAAAAACUCCGGUGGUAUGAGAUGGACCCGCGUCUGAUUAGCUAGUUGGUGGGGUAACGGCCUACCAAGGCGACGAUCUUUAGCUGGUCUGAGAGGAUGAUCAGCCACACUGGGACUGAGACACGGCCCAG